RNAcentral lists this ribosomal RNA (460 nucleotides) under uncultured bacterium. RNAcentral describes it as "partial 16S ribosomal RNA". It matches the Rfam family "Bacterial small subunit ribosomal RNA", at positions 338 to 795 of the family's 1533-position model. The record is from RNAcentral.
CCUACGGGUGGCAGCAGUGAGGAAUAUUGGUCAAUGGACGCAAGUCUGAACCAGCCAUGCCGCGUGCAGGAAGACGGCUCUAUGAGUUGUAAACUGCUUUUGUACGAGGGUAAACGCAGAUACGCGUAUCUGUCUGAAAGUAUCGUACGAAUAAGGAUCGGCCAACUCCGUGCCAGCAGCCGCGGUAAUACGGAGGAUUCAAGCGUUAUCCGGAUUUAUUGGGGUUAAAGGGGGCGUAGGCGGUCGGGUAAGUUAGAGGGGAAAACCCGAGGGCCAACUUCGGAAUUGCCUUUGAUACUGUUCGGCUUGAGAGUAGGUGCGGUAGGCGGAAUGUAUGGUGUAGCGGUGAAAUGCUUAGAGAUCAUGCAGAACACCGAGUGCGAAGGCAGCUUACCGGGCUACUUCUGACGUUGAGGCACGAAAGCGUGGGGAGCAAACAGGAUUAGAUACCCUUGUAGUC